This 497-nucleotide ribosomal RNA is filed under the name uncultured bacterium. RNAcentral describes it as "partial 16S ribosomal RNA". It matches the Rfam family "Bacterial small subunit ribosomal RNA", at positions 28 to 507 of the family's 1533-position model. The record is from RNAcentral.
GAUGAACGCUGGCGGCGUGCCUAAUACAUGCAAGUCGAGCGAACAGACGAGGAGCUUGUUCCUCUGACGUGAGCGGCGGACGGGUGAGUAACACGUGGAUAACCUACCUAUAAGACGGGGAUAACUUCGGGAAACCGGAGCUUAUAGCGGAUAAGAUAUUGAAGCGCAUGGUUGAAUAGUGAAAGACGGUGUUGCGGGCAGGUAUAGAUGGAUCCGGGCCGCAUGGGCUAGUUGGUAAGUUAACGGCUUACGAAGGCAACGAUGCGUAGCCGACCGGAGGGGGUGAUCGGCCACACUGGAGCUGAGACACCGUCCAGACUCCUACGAGAGGCAGCAGUAGGGAAUCUUCCGCAGUGGGCGAAAGCCUGACGGAGCAGCGCCGCGUGAGUGAUGAAGGUCUUCGGAUCGUAAAACUCUGUUAUUAGGGAAGAACCACUGUGUAAGUAACUGUGCACGUCUUGACGGUACCUGAUCAGAAAGCCACGGCUAACUACGUG